UACGAAGGAUGCGAGCGUUAUCCGGAUUUAUUGGGUUUAAAGGGUGCGUAGGCGGCCUUAUAAGUCAGUGGUGAAAUCCUAUCGCUUAACGAUAGACGUGCCAUUGAUACUGUAGGGCUUGAGUACAGAUGCCGUUGGCGGAAUGUGUCAUGUAGCGGUGAAAUGCAUAGAUAUGACACAGAACACCGAUUGCGAAGGCAGCUGACGAAACUGUAACUGACGCUGAGGCACGAAAGCGUGGGGAGCAAACAGG
This 253-nucleotide ribosomal RNA is filed under the name uncultured bacterium. Its description in RNAcentral is "partial 16S ribosomal RNA". It matches the Rfam family "Bacterial small subunit ribosomal RNA", at positions 524 to 776 of the family's 1533-position model. The record is from RNAcentral.